This 117-nucleotide non-coding RNA is filed under the name Nomascus leucogenys (northern white-cheeked gibbon). The record is from Rfam by way of RNAcentral. Lineage: Eukaryota; Metazoa; Chordata; Mammalia; Primates; Hylobatidae.
GCUGGGCUUGGUGGCUCAUGCCUGUAAUCCCAGCACUUUGGGAGGCUGAGGUGGGUGGAUCACCUGAGGUCAGGAGUUCAAGACCAGCCUGGCCAACAUGGUGAUACUCCAUCUCUA